This 972-nucleotide non-coding RNA is filed under the name Tyrannus tyrannus (eastern kingbird). RNAcentral describes it as "partial 12S ribosomal RNA". It matches the Rfam family "Bacterial small subunit ribosomal RNA". Lineage: Eukaryota; Metazoa; Chordata; Aves; Passeriformes; Tyrannidae. The record is from RNAcentral.
AAAGACUUAGUCCUAACCUUACUGUUAGUUUUUGCCAAAUAUAUACAUGCAAGUAUCUGCACCCCAGUGAAAAUGCCCUCAAGAUCUUAGUAAGACUACAGGAGCAGGUAUCAGGCUCACUUUAUCAAACAGUAGCCCAAAACGCCUUGCCUAGCCACACCCCCACGGGUACUCAGCAGUAAUUAACAUUAAGCAAUAAGUGUAAACUUGACUUAGUUAAAGCAACACAUUAGGGUUGGUAAAUCUUGUGCCAGCCACCGCGGUCACACAAGAAACCCAAAUUAACCUGCACGGCGUAAAGAGUGGUCUCCCAUUAUCUACCAAACUAAGAUUGAAGUGUAACCAAGCUGUUACAAGCAUAAGACACACCUAAAACCCCCUAUAAAAAUGAUCUUAGUCCUACGACCAAUUAAAUCCCACGAAAGCCAGGACACAAACUGGGAUUAGAUACCCCACUAUGCCUGGCCCUAAAUCUUGAUGCUUUCCCUACUUAAGCAUCCGCCUGAGAACUACGAGCACAGACGCUUAAAACUCUAAGGACUUGGCGGUACUCCAAACCCACCUAGAGGAGCCUGUUCUAUAAUCGAUAACCCACGAUACACCCAACCAUUCCUUGCCACAUCAGCCUACAUACCGCCGUCCCCAGCUCACCCCUAACUGAGUGAUCAACAGUGAGCAUAAUAGCCCCGCCCGCUAGCAAGACAGGUCAAGGUAUAGCCCAUGAAAUGGUAGAAAUGGGCUACAUUUUCUCACAUAGAACACUACGACAAGGGGUAUGAAACUACCCCUAAAAGGUGGAUUUAGCAGUAAAAUAGAAUAAUAAUGCCCCUUUUAAGCCGGCCCUGGAGUACGUACAUACCGCCCGUCACCCUCCUCACAAGCUACUUACAACUCAAUCCAUAAUUCAUCCCCAAGCUAAAGAUGAGGCAAGUCGUAACAAGGUAAGUGUACCGGAAGGUGCACUUAGUCUAC